GGGGGCAUAGCUCGGGGAUAGAGCGCCUGCUUAGCAUGCAUGAGGUCCUGGGUUCAACCCCCAGUACCUCCG
This 72-nucleotide transfer RNA is filed under the name Camelus bactrianus (Bactrian camel). It matches the Rfam family "tRNA". From Rfam's summary of the family: Transfer RNA (tRNA) molecules are approximately 80 nucleotides in length. Their secondary structure includes four short double-helical elements and three loops (D, anti-codon, and T loops). RNAcentral also lists the same sequence under 1 other name. The record is from Rfam by way of RNAcentral. Lineage: Eukaryota; Metazoa; Chordata; Mammalia; Artiodactyla; Camelidae.